Molecule: ribosomal RNA, 32 nt
Filed under: Traversia baccharoides
Lineage: Eukaryota; Viridiplantae; Streptophyta; Magnoliopsida; Asterales; Asteraceae
Description: partial 18S ribosomal RNA
Source: RNAcentral
UUUCCGUAGGAAUUGCGGAAGGAUCAUUGUCG